Molecule: long non-coding RNA, 143 nt
Filed under: Neodiprion pinetum (white pine sawfly)
Lineage: Eukaryota; Metazoa; Arthropoda; Insecta; Hymenoptera; Diprionidae
Description: uncharacterized LOC124216892
Source: RNAcentral
AUGUACUACACUUAGUCUUGUUAUCCGCAACGGCCCAGAUUGAUGUCGGGAAGAAAUUCAAUCUUCUUCAUGAAGGAUCCCUUCGAAACAGGUUCGGAUGAAAUCAUCGAACCGGGAACCGACAAUUCCAGGACCAAAUAAGA